ACAAACUUGGUCAUUUAGAGGAAGUAAAAGUCGUAACAAGGUUUCCGUAGGUGAACCUGCGGAAGGAUCAUUAAAGAAUAAAUCAGGUCAAGUUGUUGCUGGUCUCUCGGGGCAAUGUGCACAUUUGACUCUGUUUAUUUCUAAACCCCUUGUGCACCUUUUGUAGACUUGGAAUGUUCUUCGAGAGCAAUCUUGGUUCCAAGGGUUUGCUGCUGCCUGCUGUAUUGUAAUUUGUAUGUGCAAGCCAGCUCUCCCUGUAUUCCUGUCUAUGUUUUUUAUUCACUCUUUGAAAAUAUUUGAAGAAUGCUUGUUUGGGCUUUCAUUGCCUUUAAUACAUAAUACAACUUUCAACAACGGAUCUCUUGGCUCUCGCAUCGAUGAAGAACGCAGC
This 391-nucleotide unclassified non-coding RNA is filed under the name uncultured fungus. RNAcentral's name for it is "partial contains small subunit ribosomal RNA, internal transcribed spacer 1, and 5.8S ribosomal RNA". The stretch from base 1 to 73 matches the Rfam family "Eukaryotic small subunit ribosomal RNA", at positions 1759 to 1831 of the family's 1831-position model. Lineage: Eukaryota; Fungi. The record is from RNAcentral.